Molecule: unclassified non-coding RNA, 699 nt
Filed under: Hevea brasiliensis (rubber tree)
Lineage: Eukaryota; Viridiplantae; Streptophyta; Magnoliopsida; Malpighiales; Euphorbiaceae
Source: RNAcentral
GUCACAAAAAAAAAAUUCAUAUAAAUCAAUAGUAUAAGUUGUACAAUAGGCAAAUCUCUUGGAAAGUAUCCAUAGCCACAAAUGAUAAUUUGCCAAAAAGAUCCAAGAAAUAACUUCUAUCAAUAUAAUGAUUAAUUGACCUAUCAUAGAAGAUUAUAUUCUAUUUCUUGUUUGGUGAGAAGUGAGAUCCCAGUGCAUUAAAACUCCUAACAAUUAUUUAUUUGGUGGGAUUAAAGCUCCUCUGAUCACUUCAUUUCACGCAUGUCUCCUGGUGCAAGAAGUCAAACUUCAAUUCUCCAUAGCCCCAUCCCCUUUAACAAGUCAGAACUCCCAGAAAAACAACACUGUUUGUUGUUGAAAAAGGUAAUCAGUAAGAGGAGUAAAAUUGAACUGGGAAAAUGAAUAAUAUCUUACACACACAGCAACCAAAUAAAAAUAGGAUAUGAAGGUUUUUAAAGGGAGUGAACCCAAGGGCUUGUACAAGACUGAAGUUCAAAACCAGGCCCAGACUAAAUACUAAUCAUUUGGUCUGGGCCUGAUGACUGCUAGAAAUCAUAUAACGCUGAAGUAUAUUUUCAAGUAUUAUAAGAUUUAAUAAAUUCUUCCUCCUUUUUCAUUAUUACUGGCCAUAUUUUUCUAUUUGAUUUAAUUAUAUUAUUUUCAUUUACUAGGAUUUAAACCAAAAUUAUUUAAAAUGAA